Molecule: ribosomal RNA, 573 nt
Filed under: uncultured Glomeromycotina
Lineage: Eukaryota; Fungi; Glomeromycota
Description: SSU rRNA
Rfam family: Eukaryotic small subunit ribosomal RNA
Source: RNAcentral
UUGGAGGGCAAGUCUGGUGCCAGCAGCCGCGGUAAUUCCAGCUCCAAUAGCGUAUAUUAAAGUUGUUGCAGUUAAAAAGCUCGUAGUUGAAUUUCGGGAUUGACGUGAUGGUCAUGCCUUAAGGGGUAUGAACUGUUACUGUUGAUUUCUCACCUUCUGGAGAAACUUGAUGUCCUUUAUUGGGUGUCUUGCGGAUCCAGGACCUUUACCUUGAAAAAAUUAGAGUGUUUAAAGCAGGCAUUUUUUGCUCGAAUACAUUAGCAUGGAAUAAUAGAAUAGGACGGCAUGGUUCUAUUUUGUUGGUUUCUAGGAUCACCGUAAUGAUUAAUAGGGAUAGUUGGGGGCAUUAGUAUUCAAUUGUCAGAGGUGAAAUUCUUGGAUUUAUUGAAGACUAACUACUGCGAAAGCAUUUGCCAAGGAUGUUUUCAUUAAUCAAGAACGAAAGUUAGGGGAUCGAAGACGAUCAGAUACCGUCGUAGUCUUAACCAUAAACUAUGCCGACUAGGAAUCAGACGAUGUUAAUUUUUUAAUGACUCGUUUGGCACCUUACGGGAAACCAAAGUGUUUGGGUUC